GUUUUAACGGGUAACGGGGAAUUAGGGUUCGAUUCCGGAGAGGGAGCCUGAGAAACGGCUACCACAUCCAAGGAAGGCAGCAGGCGCGCAAAUUACCCAAUCCCGACACGGGGAGGUAGUGACAAUAAAUAACAAUACAGGGCUCUUACGGGUCUUGUAAUUGGAAUGAGUACAAUUUAAAUCUCUUAACGAGGAACAAUUGGAGGGCAAGUCUGGUGCCAGCAGCCGCGGUAAUUCCAGCUCCAAUAGCGUAUAUUAAAGUUGUUGCAGUUAAAAAGCUCGUAGUUGAAUUUCGGGGUUCUUCCGUUGGUCAGGCUAACAAGUCUGUACUAGCGUGUAGAAUCUCUACCUUCUGGGGGACCAUCAUGUUAUUAAUUUAGCGUGGUGGGAAACCAGGACCUUUACCUUGAAAAAAUUAGAGUGUUCAAAGCAGGCUUACGUCUGAAUACAUUAGCAUGGAAUAAUAAAAUAGGACGGUGGUCCUGUUUUGUUGGUUUCUGAAUCACCGUAAUGAUUAAUAGGGAUAGUUGGGGGCAUUAGUAUUCAAUUGUCAGAGGUGAAAUUCUUGGAUUUAUUGAAGACUAACUUCUGCGAAAGCAUUUGCCAAGGAUGUUUUCAUUAAUCAAGAACGAAAGUUAGGGGAUCGAAGACGAUCAGAUACCGUCGUAGUCUUAACCAUAAACUAUGCCGACUAGGGAUCGGACGAUGUUAAAUUUUAUUGACUCGUUCGGCGCC
Molecule: ribosomal RNA, 735 nt
Filed under: uncultured Scutellospora
Lineage: Eukaryota; Fungi; Glomeromycota; Glomeromycetes; Diversisporales; Gigasporaceae
Description: SSU rRNA
Rfam family: Eukaryotic small subunit ribosomal RNA
Source: RNAcentral